Molecule: non-coding RNA, 28 nt
Filed under: Homo sapiens (human)
Lineage: Eukaryota; Metazoa; Chordata; Mammalia; Primates; Hominidae
Source: RNAcentral
UCCGACUGGUAUAAGAUGGUAUCUCAUU